UAACACGUGGGUAACCUGCCUUAUAGUGGGGGAUAGCCUUUCGAAAGGAAGAUUAAUACCGCAUAAGAUUGUAGUAUCGCAUGAUAUAGCGAUUAAAGGAGCAAUUCGCUAUAAGAUGGACCCGCGUCGCAUUAGCUAGUUGGUGAGGUAAUGGCUCACCAAGGCGACGAUGCGUAGCCGACCUGAGAGGGUGAUCGGCCACAUUGGGACUGAGACACGGCCCAGACUCCUACGGGAGGCAGCAUG
This 246-nucleotide ribosomal RNA is filed under the name uncultured bacterium. RNAcentral's name for it is "partial 16S ribosomal RNA". It matches the Rfam family "Bacterial small subunit ribosomal RNA", at positions 111 to 353 of the family's 1533-position model. The record is from RNAcentral.